GAUGAACGCUAGCUACAGGCUUAACACAUGCAAGUCGAGGGGAAACGAUAGGGAAAGCUUGCUUUUUCUAGGCGUCGACCGGCGCACGGGUGAGUAACGCGUAUCCAACCUGCCCAUCCCUUGGGGAUAACCUUGCGAAAGUAAGACUAAUACCCAAUGACGUCUCUAGAAGACAUCUGAAGGAGAUUAAAGAUUUAUCGGUGAUGGAUGGGGAUGCGUCUGAUUAGCUUGUUGGCGGGGUAACGGCCCACCAAGGCGACGAUCAGUAGGGGUUCUGAGAGGAAGGUCCCCCACAUUGGAACUGAGACACGGUCCAGACUCCUACGGGAGGCAGCAGUGAGGAAUAUUGGUCAAUGGACGAGAGUCUGAACCAGCCAAGUAGCGUGCAGGAAGACGGCCCUAUGGGUUGUAAACUGCUUUUAUAAGGGAAUAAAGUGAGUCUCGUGAGACUUUUUGCAUGUACCUUAUGAAUAAGGACCGGCUAAUUCCGUGCCAGCCGCCGCAGUAA
This 508-nucleotide ribosomal RNA is filed under the name uncultured bacterium. Its description in RNAcentral is "partial 16S ribosomal RNA". It matches the Rfam family "Bacterial small subunit ribosomal RNA", at positions 28 to 523 of the family's 1533-position model. The record is from RNAcentral.